CAUUAAAAAUAAUUUUAAUUUUGUACAUAUAAUGUAAUUCUUCGAUGAAGGGGCACCGCCAGAUGAAUGAGUAUUAAAAAGCUAGUAGGACUUUCGGGGACCAUAUAAUACAAUGAGUAAUCAAUGAACAUGAGGACUGAAAAUGGAAAUUCAGAAGUACGAACUGUCUUUUUGCAACAAUAAUAGAAGGAAGAUGCCAAUGGCUGACAAUAAUAGAAGGAAGAUGCCAAUAUCCAGCUAUGCAAGGCGACAACAAAUUUUCUGCCCCAUUGGGAUUACCUUUUCCGCCUUCUUAUCAUUAUAAUAUUUCUCCCACCAACUUCUGAUGCGUCUUUUUUUGUCGGUUGGAAAUAAGAAUUCAUUCCUGACGGAUGCUUUAAAAGCUCAUUAGAAAAAAUACAUAUAAUAAGGUAGCUGACGCUUAUAUAUCACUUCAAACUUCUUUUUUUUGGCCGUUCAUCAGGAGCUGUUAUUUGGGACUUGCAUCUAACACGGAGGAGAUCUAUAGGGACCCCGGAGGACUUUCGGGGUGUAUACUCGACGCACGGAGCCUCCUAGAAGACACUGAAAUCUGUAUUUCCACAUCUCUCACUUACCAAACACUGUGUCCUCUCCCCCUUUUGGAUCUAGUUAAGCAUAACUACUACCAUUGUUAGAGUAUCUUCAACAAGCUCUAACUCUCCAUUUUAAUGGCGGAUAUUGAUACUCCAAGCAAAAAUACACCAGUGGCAACAGGAAAAGCAGUGGAGGAUCUCCAGCCAAUGGCCGAAGCUCAGCCAUAAUAAUUCGUUUGCUAAAUCUCCAUGGAUAGGUCGAAAUAAGAGGAAAAUCCUUCUUAUGUUUGCUAAUCAUGGGUGUUGUUUAUCUUAUGAAUGAUAAAGAAUAGUAUUGAUUAUAACAAUAUGACAUUGUAGCAUCAUCUAGGAGCAAGAGAAUAGGUUGUUGUUGUAGAAACACCAUUGAUGAGAGUUGUGGAACUUUAUGCCCAUCAAGUGUUUGAUAAAAUGUUUCACUAUAUUUCAGUGUAUUUAUGUGUAUCGACAAACAGUAUAUCUAAUUUUUCAGUAUAUUUCAGUGUAUUAUUUCGCUGUA
Long non-coding RNA from Lycium ferocissimum, 1092 nucleotides. RefSeq lists it as uncharacterized. The transcript has 2 exons. NCBI's taxonomy places the organism in Eukaryota, Viridiplantae, Streptophyta, Magnoliopsida, Solanales, Solanaceae. The record is from RefSeq and is a predicted model, not a curated record.